This 301-nucleotide ribosomal RNA is filed under the name uncultured bacterium. RNAcentral describes it as "partial 16S ribosomal RNA". It matches the Rfam family "Bacterial small subunit ribosomal RNA", at positions 509 to 807 of the family's 1533-position model. The record is from RNAcentral.
CAGUCGCCGCGGUAAUACGGAGGGGGCUGGCGUUGUUCGGAAUCACUGGGCGUAAAGGGUGCGUAGGCGGGUUUCUAAGUCAGGGGUGAAAUCCUGGAGCCCAACUCCAGAACUGCCCUUGAUACUGGAAGUCUUGAGUAUGGGAGGGGUGAGUGGAACUGCGAGUGUAGAGGUGAAAUUCGUAGAUAUUCGCAAGAACACCAGUGGCGAAGGCGGCUCACUGGCCCAUAACUGACGCUGAGGCACGAAAGCGUGGGGAGCAAACAGGAUUAGAUACCCCCGUAGUCCCUGUCUCUUAUAC